GGUCGUCGGAUGUAAUAUAUUGAAUUGCAAUCAUAGUUGUUACUACAUUGUACUAUGUAGUAGUUUAUAAAAGAUAAGCUUGUUCAUUUAUUAUUACUUCUUUUACUUUUCAUAAACAAGCCUCAGUAAAUAAGUCAGUGUUGAGAACUACAAGUCAAGCAAAUCAUCAGACACAAGGAAACAAUAGUUAUGUCCAUCAAACGUUAUAAGGAUGAACAUUAUUCAAAAAGUGUUCAUUUCUUUUGAGGUUCAAAUGUUUGUAAACCUUUAUCACCGCGAACAUGAACUUUGAGGCCG
Molecule: long non-coding RNA, 297 nt
Filed under: Mytilus galloprovincialis (Mediterranean mussel)
Lineage: Eukaryota; Metazoa; Mollusca; Bivalvia; Mytilida; Mytilidae
Source: RNAcentral